AUCGAUGAAGAACGCAGCGAAAUGCGAUAAGUAAUGUGAAUUGCAGAAUUCAGUGAAUCAUCGAAUCUUUGAACGCACCUUGCGCUCCUUGGUAUUCCGAGGAGCAUGCCUGUUUGAGUGUCAUUAAAUUCUCAACCUCACCAGUUUUCUGAACUGUUCUUCGAGGCUUGGAUGUGGGGGUUUGUGCAGGCUGCCUCACGGCGGUCUGCUCCCCUGAAAUGCAUUAGCGAGUUCAUACUGAACUUCCGUCUAUUGGUGUGAUAAUUAUCUACGCCGUGGACGAGGUUCAGACUCGCUUCUAACCGUCCGCAAGGACAAUACCUUGACAAUUUGACCUCAAAUCAGGUAGGACUACCCGCUGAACUUAAGCAUAUCAAUAAGCGGAGGAAAAGAAACUAACAAGGAUUCCCCUAGUAACUGCGAGUGAAGCGGGAAAAGCUCAAAUUUAAAAUCUGGCGGUCUUUGGCCGUCCGAGUUGUAAUCUAGAGAAGUGUUACCCGCGUCGGACCGUGUACAAGUCUCCUGGAAUGGAGCGUCAUAGAGGGUGAGAAUCCCGUCUUUGACACGGACUACCGAGGCUUUGUGGUGCGCUCUCAAAGAGUCGAGUUGUUUGGGAAUGCAGCUCAAAAUGGGUGGUAAAUUCCAUCUAAAGCUAAAUAUUGGCGAGAGACCGAUAGCGAACAAGUACCGUGAGGGAAAGAUGAAAAGAACUUUGGAAAGAGAGUUAAACAGUACGUGAAAUUGCUGAAAGGGAAACGCUUGAAGUCAGUCGCGUUGUCCGGGAAUCAGCCUUCCUUCUGGUUGGUGUACUUCCUGGUUGACGGGCCAGCAUCAGUUUUGACCGGUGGAAAAAGUUCGAGGGAAUGUGGCACCUCCGGGUGUGUUAUAGCCCUCGUUCGUAUACAUCGGUUGGGACUGAGGAACUCAGCACGCCGCAAGGCCGGGAUUCGUCCACGUUCGUGCUUAGGAUGCUGGCAUAAUGGCUUUAAUCGACCCGUCUUGAAACACGG
This 1010-nucleotide ribosomal RNA is filed under the name uncultured fungus. RNAcentral describes it as "eukaryotic LSU rRNA". The stretch from base 332 to 1010 matches the Rfam family "Eukaryotic large subunit ribosomal RNA", at positions 1 to 664 of the family's 3401-position model. The record is from RNAcentral. Lineage: Eukaryota; Fungi.